GGGUGAGUAACACGUGGGUAAUCUGCCCUCGGUUCUGGGAUAGCCCGGGGAAACCCGGAUUAAUACCGGAUGGCCUCUCGAGCUCUCGGGCUCGUGAGAAAAGGUAGCUUCGGCCUCCGACCGAGGAUGAGCCCGCGGCGGAUUAGCUUGUUGGCGGGGUAACGGCCACCAAGGCGACGAUCCGUAGCUGGUCUGAGAGGACGAUCAGCCACACUGGGACUGAGCAACACGGCCCAGACUCAUACGGGAGGCAGCAGUGGGGAAUCUUGCGCAAUGGGCGAAAGCCUGACGCAGCGACGCCGCGUGCGGGAGGAAGGCCUUCGGGUUGUAAACCGCUUUCAGGAGGGAAGAAGCCACUCGGGUUAAUAGCCCAGAGGGUGACGGUACCUCCAGAAGAAGCCCCGGCUAACUACGUGCCAGCCGCCGCGG
Molecule: ribosomal RNA, 429 nt
Filed under: uncultured bacterium
Lineage: Bacteria
Description: bacterial SSU rRNA
Rfam family: Bacterial small subunit ribosomal RNA
Source: RNAcentral